Molecule: long non-coding RNA, 488 nt
Organism: Oryzias melastigma (Indian medaka)
Lineage: Eukaryota; Metazoa; Chordata; Actinopteri; Beloniformes; Adrianichthyidae
Exons: 3
Source: RefSeq, a predicted model, not a curated record
ACUCCACAGUGUUUCUUUCAAACAUUUGAAUUGAAAAAAUGUCAGUUUAUUUCUUUUUGAAUUCUUCAGACGUUUUCCUUUGGAUAAAAACAUGCUUUCCCAUCUGGACCUGAAGCAGAAAUGAAGCUUAGUCCUAUUUUCCUUUAAAGCAGCAGCUCCAGAUUCAGCCAAAUUCUUUGUUCUCCUAGCUUCUCCUGCUGGUCCUGCUGUGCUUCAGCGUCCAGCAGGACUAGGAGGUUCCAGCACAGCGGGUGAGGAAGAGGCUGCAGGAGGGAACGCUGAAGGUGAAAGCUGUUCAGUUCUUUGGUUAAAUCAACGUUAUUCCAUCAACACAUUUCCUGAAGAGAAGACCAGACGCUCAGGAAUUCUCCCUCCUGGUCGGCUCCUCCUCAUGUCUCUGAUGGAGAGCGUGACGCCGCGGUGGAGAAGGAUCCAGACGUCUGCAGGACGGAGAUCAGGAGUUGAUAAACGUGGACUGAUGUCAGCAA